UAGAUGGCGCUGGGCCCGCUCCCACGUGGGGCGGAGGCAGGAGCGCGGCGGGCCUGGGCCGGGCGGUGCGGUGCGGGGACGGGGUUCCAGAGCUGCGGGGUGACCUCCGGAGACCAAGGCAGCGCCUGGCCGGACUGACCCCGCUCACCCUUCCUCCGAAGAGGAACCCUGGGUUUGGCUUUUUUUUUUUUUUUUUAAUCUUGAGGUGUUUUCCCCCUUAAUAUUAAAUCCUAAAGGAAAUAGACAUUCAAGCUCCCUGUCCGUAGGGAAUUAUAAUCCUGGGCAAAAGAAAAAGAAUUAUUUCUCUAUGAUAAACACAGUAUCUCAAUAAGAAUUGAGAACUUUUCCCACUGACUUAAAUCCUGGGAAAGGAAAGGGGGAAAUGGAGUAUAAGGGAAGCUGAAAGGCAAACUUUAUCGUCCUCAUGAUUUUUGCCAAGAGUUGGCUCAUCCUGUUGAUGUUCAGAAGAGAAGCUGUAACACCCAAAGCAAGAACUCAGCGUGGUUUGUCUUCGCUUAUGAAAUCGUUGAAUCUCUGGCCUGUCCCAGCAUGUUAACUGGAUUGGGCUGUUGGAAGUUCUGUGAUGUGGCUGCUUAUGACAAUAACCCAGGCUGGUUAAAGAAGGCUAGGAGGCAAUAAGAUCUUCCUUCUGUUAAUACAGUCACUACAGCUGUUAUAGAAAGACCAGAUUCCUCCACAUGGCAGGAAGCACAGCCCACUGAAAACUUCCUAAACUUUCCACCAUUAACCACUGUAGCAGACGCUGUUGCUGUCCUGGCCGUGUCUCCUUGGCCCAUCUAUGAGGUUAUCUACAGUUGGGGAAUUGCUCCUCUACUUGUCCCAGACUUCCUACCUCUAGCAUCUGCAUCAUUCUGCCUGAGGACAGCUGCUGGGGGAGCGCGCU
Molecule: long non-coding RNA, 904 nt
Organism: Globicephala melas (long-finned pilot whale)
Lineage: Eukaryota; Metazoa; Chordata; Mammalia; Artiodactyla; Delphinidae
Source: RefSeq, a predicted model, not a curated record